UUUUUGGGUGUAAACACAUUCACGCAGGGUUUGCAGGCGAUUCAUAUGGAUGACAGUUGUUGUAAUUGUCACCAGCACACAUGUCAACGCACAGACCAAGCAGCAAACUCCACAAACCUUCAACUAAAUCAAAAUCUAAACUCAUCACGCAUAAUCCAGUUACCAUUGUGGCCGGAACAAAAGUCGGUAUUGUUUCGAAAUAGCCCAGUGUUGAUGUAUAUGAUCGCAGCAGGAAGUACACAGCAAGGAAAAGCGCGCCGAGGAUGGUGGCCAGGCCACCACAGGCACAACACCAGAAGACAUACUUGCGUAUUCGUCCACUGUUGGGGCUUGCUGUAAUAAAAAACAACGAAACAAAGAUUAGCAGACGUAAAAUCAUAAAAGUUGAAGGUUUGAUUGCAUACCGGGUUGCAGCGUGUAGGGUAAUGGUUGUAUGGGCACGUGCCCCACGUGCGGCACGUGGUACUGCACCACCUGCAUCACGGGAUAGCCGUGCAUUUUGUUUUUUGUGUGUUCAGAGAAUCAACGCGAUGUUUUUCGGGGACGACGCGAUGGUAAACUGGUCGAGCGCAGGACAAGUGCAUCUUCACGCACGGGAUUUUCAUCAAUCCAGAAGUGGAUUUGUGGAAUUUUCGUUUUAUUUUAUUUAUUUUGGUCCGGAUCUGUGUUGUUACCAUGACAACUUUAGCUCUUUCUCUCGGAUAGUCGAUAUUCUACCCCUGUGCGCGGGCAACAGGCUAUUCUACCCUCCCCUCACCCCUAAAUGAGUAUAAAUAUAUACAAUGUGUUUAAAAUACUCACUGUCUCUUUGUCGAUACCGUCCACUCAAACUACCAUCAUAUCUGGGUCGUGGGGUGGUCUUGGUGGUAAUGCCGGCGGUAACGGACUGAUUUCUAUCCGAUCAUCCGCCUCAAUCUUCCUCUCCGGAUCCUGUCCGCCAUUUUCCGUAUCGUUGACGUUCUGCAAAUGACAUGUGCAGUUCGCCAUUGUUUUCGGCGCUUGUGGCGCUGGUGUAUGCACAUGCACAUGCACCUGACUAAGCGCAUGCGCAGCGGUGUGUUGAUAGUGUUGAUGAGCGUGCGUAUGUUGAUACUGUAUUGAUACAGGCGAGAUUCGCUCGCGGUCGCGUUCAGUCUUAUUGGUUUCGAGUUUAUCAACGCCGCAAUGGCAGCUGAUGGUGUCGCUCGACUGGUAGGCGUGCUCCAGGGGCAGCGGCUUGAGAUCCGAUGGUGACGGGGACGCCAUUUUGAUUUGAUUCACAUCUAAUGGGGUUGUUCUUGGAAUAUCUGGGUGGGGACGAGGUGAAUUCCUCAACGUUGGCGUUCACACCAAUGAUAAUCACACCUUUUCGGCGUUUCAAAGCGUUUUUGUGAGGAUUUCGGUGCGCAGGUAGUCGGACCUGUGCGUGAUCUACCUGCGUGCGUCUCACAUAACCUAAAUUCAAAGCUAUGGGUAUCCAUUACAGAAAUUCAUGGUGUUUUUGUGAUUUUGGUAUAUUUACUACCUACAAACGUGGGAAUUCGCAUUUUCAGGAGUAAUGUCAUAGAAAUCAUUGUGUUUGGAAGCCAUUCAACCACUUUUGAUACAUCAACGCAUUGUUGCAUCACGCAUCGUUGCGGAAAUUUGUAUUGAAAGGGAUUUGAAUGAUUUCUGACAAUAAGGGCACAUUUCACGCAGGUGUGCAAUAAAUUCUUAUAUCUACGA
This is a long non-coding RNA of Dalotia coriaria, 1704 nucleotides long. RefSeq lists it as uncharacterized. NCBI's taxonomy places the organism in Eukaryota, Metazoa, Arthropoda, Insecta, Coleoptera, Staphylinidae. The transcript is spliced from 5 exons. The record is from RefSeq and is a predicted model, not a curated record.